This 486-nucleotide ribosomal RNA is filed under the name uncultured bacterium. RNAcentral's name for it is "partial 16S ribosomal RNA". It matches the Rfam family "Bacterial small subunit ribosomal RNA", at positions 30 to 507 of the family's 1533-position model. The record is from RNAcentral.
AUUGAACGCUGGCGGCAUGCCUUACACAUGCAAGUCGAACGGCAGCACGGGUGCUUGCACCUGGUGGCGAGUGGCGAACGGGUGAGUAAUACAUCGGAACAUGUCCUGUAGUGGGGGAUAGCCCGGCGAAAGCCGGAUUAAUACCGCAUACGAUCCACGGAUGAAAGCGGGGGACCUUCGGGCCUCGCGCUAUAGGGUUGGCCGAUGGCUGAUUAGCUAGUUGGUGGGGUAAAGGCCUACCAAGGCGACGAUCAGUAGCUGGUCUGAGAGGACGACCAGCCACACUGGGAUUGAGACACGGCCCAGACUCCUACGGGAGGCAGCAGUGGGGAAUUUUGGACAAUGGGCGAAAGCCUGAUCCAGCAAUGCCGCGUGUGUGAAGAAGGCCUUCGGGUUGUAAAGCACUUUUGUCCGGAAAGAAAUCCUUGGCUCUAAUACAGUCGGGGGAUGACGGUACCGGAAGAAUAAGCACCGGCUAACUACGUG